AGGUUAAAAUAAUUAAGGGCACACAGGGAAUGCCUAGGUAGUAAGAGCCGAUGAAGGACGUGGUAAGCUGCGAUAAGCUUGGGUUAGCUGCAAACGAGCGCCAAUCCCAAGAUUUCCGAAUGGAGCAAUCUGCUAAGAUGGAGUCUUAGCACGAAAGAGGGUACCGAGUGAACUGAAACAUCUAAGUAACUCGAGGAAAAGAAAGUAAAAACGAUUCCCCAAGUAGCGGCGAGCGAACGGGGAUGAGCCUAAACCAUAUAAGUGUCAAGGAUACAGCCGUUGCUUAUAUGGGGUUGUGGGAAGAACGUUUGAAGAACUGUAAGAUAUUCAACAUAUCUAAUGACCGAACUGGAACUAGUUGGAAAGCUAGAUCGUAGAAGGUGAUAAUCCUGUACAGGUAAACUCAUUAGAAUGUAUGUUCUCUCCCAAGUAACAUGGAACACGAGGAAUUCUGUGUGAAUCUGCGAGGACCAUAUCUCGUAAGGCUAAAUACUCUUACUAACCGAUAGCGUAUAGUACCGUGAGGGAAAGGUGAAAAGAACCCCGGGAGGGGAGUGAAAUAGAACCUGAAACUGUGUGCUUACAAGCGGUCAGAGCUCUUCGGAGUGAUGGCGUGCCUUUUGGAGAAUGAUCCUGCGAGUUACGUUCAGUGGCGAGGUUAAGUAUAACGGAGCCGAAGGGAAACCGAGUCUGAAUAGGGCGACAUAGUCGCUGGGCGUAGACGCGAAACCUGGUGAUCUAAGCCUGUCCAGGGUGAAGCUGUGGUAAGACACAGUGGAGGCCCGAACUCACCGCCGUUGAAAAGUUGGGAGAUGAGGUAGGUUUAGGGGUGAAAAGCCAAUCGAACUAGGAGAUAGCUCGUUCUCUCCGAAAUGCAUUUAGGUGCAGCCUUGAGUGUUUAAUUAUGGGGGUAGAGCACUGAAUGAACUAGGGGGCAUAUUGCUUACUGAAUUCAAUCAAACUCCGAAUACCAUAAUUCAAAGCUCAGGAGUGAGACUAUGGGAAUUAACUUCCAUUGUCAAAAGGGAAACAACCCAGACCACCAGCUAAGGUCCCUAAUUAUAACUAAGUGGGAAAGGAGGUGGAGAUUCACAAACAACCAGGAGGUUGGCUUAGAAGCAGCCAUACCUUUAAAGAGUGCGUAAUAGCUCACUGGUCGAGAGUCUCUGCGCCGACAAUGUAACGGGGCUAAGUUAUAAACCGAAGCUGUGGAAUUGCGCAAGCAAUUGGUAGGAGAGCGUUCUGUAGGCCGUUGAAGGAGAAGCGCAAGCAACUCUGGAGGUAUCAGAAGUGAGAAUGCAGGAAUAAGUAGCGAGAAAGGGGGCGAGAAUCCCCCUCGCCGGAAGACCAAGGUUUUCAGGGUAAAGCUUGUCUUCCCUGAGUAAGCCGGGACCUAAGCCGAGGCUAAAAUGCGUAGGCGAAUGGAAAACAGAUUAAUAUUUCUGUGCCAGUUAUAUUUUGUGAAGGAGGGACGCAGAAGGGUAUGUGCGCGGGAGAACGGAAGUUCCCGUAGAAGCAUGUAGAGUGGUCUAGUAGGCAAAUCCGCUAGAUUAGACUUGAGGUGUGAU
Molecule: ribosomal RNA, 1568 nt
Filed under: Salmonella enterica subsp. enterica serovar Typhimurium
Lineage: Bacteria; Pseudomonadati; Pseudomonadota; Gammaproteobacteria; Enterobacterales; Enterobacteriaceae
Description: partial 23S ribosomal RNA
Rfam family: Bacterial large subunit ribosomal RNA
Source: RNAcentral